UCGAGAGGUGUAAGACCUCGGCAUACUGCUCAGUAACACGUGGUUAACCUGCCCUAAGGCGGAGCAUACUCCCGGGAAACUGGGGCUAAUACUCCAUAGUGGAUAUGUCCUGGAAUGGUAUAUCCUCGAAAGAUCCGUCGCCUUAGGAUGGGACUGCGUCCGAUUAGGUUGUUGGCGGGGUAACGGCCCACCAAGCCUUUUAUCGGUACGGGUUGUGGGAGCAAGAUCCCGGAGAUGGACUCUGAGACAUGAAUCCAGGCCCUACGGGGCGCAGCAGGCGCGCAAACUUUACAAUGCGAGCAAUCGUGAUAAGGAAACCCUGAGUGCCUGUCGAUGCAGGCUGUUCAUAUAUCUAAAUCAUAUGUGAAGAAAGGGCAGGGCAAGACCGGUGCCAGCCGCCGCGGUAAUACCGGCUGCUCGAGUGAUGGCCACUAUUACUGGGUUUAAAGCGUCCGUAGCUUGACUGUUAGGUCUCUUGGGAAAUCUUCGCGCUCAACGUGAAGGCGUCUAAGAGAUACCGGCAGUCUUGGAACUGGGAGAGGUAAACCGUACUUCGGGGGUAGGAGUGAAAUCUUGUAAUCCUCGAGGGACGACCUAUGGCGAAGGCAGUUUACCAGAACAGCUUCGACAGUGAGGGACGAAAGCUGGGGGAGCAAACGGGAUUAGAUACCCCGGUAGUCCCAGCCGUAAACAAUGUGCGUUAGGUGUGUCGGUAACCACGUGUUACUGAUGCGCCGAAGAGAAAUCGUGAAACGCACCACCUGGGAAGUACGGUCGCAAGGCUGAAACUUAA
This 793-nucleotide ribosomal RNA is filed under the name uncultured euryarchaeote. RNAcentral describes it as "bacterial SSU rRNA". It matches the Rfam family "Archaeal small subunit ribosomal RNA", at positions 58 to 859 of the family's 1478-position model. The record is from RNAcentral. Lineage: Archaea; Methanobacteriati; Methanobacteriota.